UUAUGGCUCAGGAUGAACGCUAGCUACAGGCUUAACACAUGCAAGUCGAGGGGUAGCAGGGUAGCAAUACCGCUGACGACCGGCGCACGGGUGAGUAACACGUAUCCAACCUUCCCAUAACUCAGGGAUAGCCUUUCGAAAGAAAGAUUAAUACCUGAUAGUACUUUUUCAAGGCAUCUUGAGAAAGUUAAAGAUUUAUUGGUUAUGGGUGGGGAUGCGUUCCAUUAGAUAGUUGGUGAGGUAACGGCUCACCAAGUCUUCGAUGGAUAGGGGUUCUGAGAGGAAGGUCCCCCACAUUGGUACUGAGACACGGACCAAACUCCUACGGGAGGCAGCAGUGAGGAAUAUUGGUCAAUGGGCGAGAGCCUGAACCAGCCAAGUAGCGUGAAGGAAUGAAGGUCCCAUGGAUUGUAAACUUCUUUUAUAGUAGAAUAAAGUGAUCCACGUGUGGAUUUUUGUAUGUAUACUAUGAAUAAGGAUCGGCUAACUCCGUGCCAGCCGCGGC
RNAcentral lists this ribosomal RNA (505 nucleotides) under uncultured bacterium. RNAcentral's name for it is "bacterial SSU rRNA". It matches the Rfam family "Bacterial small subunit ribosomal RNA", at positions 17 to 518 of the family's 1533-position model. The record is from RNAcentral.